AGAUGGUGAAGAUGGUACAGAUGGUGUAUGAUGGUCGAAGUAUGUCACAUGGUUGUCAGAUGGUGUAUGAUGGUGUAUGAUGGUCGAAGUGUGUCAGAUGGUGUAUGAUGGUGUAUGAUGGUCGAAGUGUGUCAGAUGGUUGUCAGAUGGUGUAUGAUGGUGUAGGGUGGUUAUACAGGGAAGGGUUGUCAGAUGGUGAAGAUGGUACAGAUGGUGUAUGAUGGUCGAAAUGUGUCGGAUGGUUGUCAGAUGCUGUAUGAUGGUUGAAGUGUGUCAGAUGGUUGUCAGAUGGUACAGAUGGUGUAUGAUGUUCGCAGUGUGUCAGAUGGUUGUCAGAUGGUAUAUGAUGGUCGAAGUGUGUCAGAUGGUUGUCAGAUGGUGUAUGAUGGUCGAAGUGUGUCAGAUGGUUGUCUGAUGGUGUAUGAUGGUGUAGGGUGGUUAUACAGGGAAGGGUUGUCAGAUGGUGAAGAUGGUACAGAUGGUGAAGAUGGUACAGAUGGUGUAUGAUGGUCGAAGUAUGUCACAUGGUUGUCAGAUGGUGUAUGAUGGUGUAUGAUGGUCGAAGUGUGUCAGAUGGUGUAUGAUGGUGUAUGAUGGUCGAAGUGUGUCAGAUGGUUGUCAGAUGGUGUAUGAUGGUGUAGGGUGGUUAUACAGGGAAGGGUUGUCAGAUGGCGAAGAUGGUACAGAUGGUGUAUGAUGGUCGAAAUGUGUCAGAUGGUUGUCAGAUGGUGUAUGAUGGUUGAAGUGUGUCAGAUGGUUGUCAGAUGGUACAGAU
Paramuricea clavata is the source of this 775-nucleotide non-coding RNA. The record is from the annotation of a GenBank genome assembly. Lineage: Eukaryota; Metazoa; Cnidaria; Anthozoa; Malacalcyonacea; Plexauridae.